GAUACGGAUGCAAAACAUGUAAAUUUUCAGCUUUUAUUCCUAAUAUGUGCAUAAAUGAGUGCACAUUUUUCACCAUACGUUUUGGUAUGUACUGUUAUCAUUUACUUCAAAUUAUUUUCUAACUUGAAUUGUGAUGUAUUUUGGGGGUUAUUUAGAAGUGUAUUUGAUAAAUCUUAAAUAUUAGGAGUUUCUAGGUGCCUUCUGUUCCUGAUUUGUAGAUUAACUGCAAUGACAACAAGAAACGUACCGUAUAUAAUUUCAUUUCUUUGAAGUUUGUUGAAACUUGCUUCAUAGCACUGCGUGGUCUCAUCAACUAUAAUUGAAGUGUGCCCCUCUGCUGCCACCUCGUGUGCAACUUGGGAAUAACACCUUCGUGCCUUUCAGCAGUUUUGAAGAGCCGGCCUUGUGUAAUUAUUGGCUGGGACACAGCUAACUUCUGACACCGCUGAAGCCGAGAGAUCAUGGACACCUGCCAGCAAAGGCAAUUGCUCCGAGAACACGAGAACAGGUUUCUGCCCAAGCCAGAGCCGACCGACCAGGACUCCCAGGACUCCCAGGACCAGCCCUUCACCCUGGUGACUCGGUCCUCCUUAAGAACCUACAUCCACAAGCCUUGGAGCCUAGGUGGACGGGACUUCACACUGUAAUCCUCACAGCCCCCACUGUGGCCAAGCUGCUUGGUGACCCCAGCUUGACGACCUGUCCUGGCACCGCCUCUCCAGAGACCUGUCCUGGCACCGCCUCUCCAGACUCAAGAGGACCCCGGAGCAGCAACACUUCUAUAAAUGUGAUGUAUUGGGCCCCACUAACGUCUGCCUUAACCGCCCUCCCCUCCUCCUUCUCCUCCAGGCCCUGAGCAACCUACACACACACCCACCCUCUUGUGUGGAGGUUCAAGGUCCGUGAAACCUACUAUCAGAAUGGCAAACAAGUCACCCGGCAGCAAAACCCAGACAGGUCUUUGCUGGCUGCCGUCCCACUCAUGACUUCUCCAAGAACCCAAGGGAAAGGUGAAUGUCAGCCUCCCGUGGCUGGCAUUCCCCUUUGGGAACCCGAAACUCCAGAGCCCACCCUGCCCCCAUGGAUAUGCUACCAGAUCAGUAAUCCGGUAACUGGGGGACAGGUCAUUUAGAACUGUACCUGAAACCACACCGCAUCCAGCCUCACCAAGGCCAGCCCAGGUACCUUCUUUUGGUGCAACGGCACCUUAAGCAACUGCAUGAACUCCUCUGACCCCGGGCCUUGCUUCGUGGUCACGGUAGUUCCGAACUAACCUUGUAUGGAGAGUUGGAGCUCGCCUGGCUGCUCCCUCCAUCCCACCCCCGGACCUGCCAGGCUGUCUUCCUCCCUGUCAUGUUAGGGGUGAGUAUCACUGCCUCAGUAGGCCUCAUGGGGGGGCCCUCUGGAACAGUCUGGUCACUGCUCAGGACUUUAAUGACAAGCUCCAGUUAGCC
Myotis lucifugus (little brown bat) is the source of this 1454-nucleotide long non-coding RNA. RefSeq lists it as uncharacterized. The record is from RefSeq and is a predicted model, not a curated record. NCBI's taxonomy places the organism in Eukaryota, Metazoa, Chordata, Mammalia, Chiroptera, Vespertilionidae. The transcript is spliced from 3 exons.